UAAGCAGAAAUGAAAACGGCGAACAUAAAAUGAGAUGAAUAUAAAAAUUUAUGCAAAAAAAUUUUUGUAAGAAAAAAAAAUCGCGGGUGAAAAAGAAGAGAGCUUUACUGUGAAAGAGAGAGCAUAAUAUUUUGAAAUUUACAAAAUGCUAUAUCGUGUCCAGGGAAAAAGAAAAAAAAAAUCUUAACAAAUUCUUCACCCUUCGCUAUCCAUCACGGACAUUUAUUUUUUUUCACAAUUUAUUUAUUUUUUAAAUCUAUUGCACUGUAAAAUUGUCGAUGUAUCGAGAAUCCAAAAAUCAAAAUCAAGCACCGCAAAAUUAUCGACGAAUCGAAAAUUCAAAAAUCAAAAUCGAUAACCAAAUUUUAAAACACAUAUAAUAACUUUUAAUCUAAAAUUUUUAUUUCUACAUUA
RNAcentral lists this long non-coding RNA (414 nucleotides) under Ananas comosus (pineapple). Its description in RNAcentral is "long non-coding RNA (ACOM_LNC012807)". Lineage: Eukaryota; Viridiplantae; Streptophyta; Magnoliopsida; Poales; Bromeliaceae. The record is from RNAcentral.